This 84-nucleotide transfer RNA is filed under the name Engelhardtia mirabilis. RNAcentral describes it as "Planctomycetes bacterium Pla133 tRNA-Phe". The record is from RNAcentral. Lineage: Bacteria; Pseudomonadati; Planctomycetota; Planctomycetia.
UGGGCGAGGCCAUGGCCGGCGAGAUGGUCGGCCUUGAAGCGGUCGAGGACGACCACUGGGCUGUUCACCUCGGCCCCGCUCGCC